GGUAUUGAAAUAAGAUUUUAAAUGGGUGCUAAGAGAAUGAUUAAACAAUUAUAGACUUUCUUUAAUUAAAUAAUUAAAUUUAAUUUUUUUAGUGCAAAAGCAAAAAUAAAAAUUAGGGACAAGAAGACCCUAUGAAUUUUUUUAUUUUUUAAAUAAAUUUUAUUAAAUUUAUUAAAAAAUUUAAUUGGGGUGAUGAAAAAAGAAUAAAUAUCUUUUUAUGUAUUAAAAAUUGGUUCCGUUUUUAACGAUUAAAUGAAAAAAAUACUCUAGGGAUAACAGCGUAAUAAUUUUGGAUAGUUCAUAUAGAUGAAAUAGUUUGCGACCUCGAUGUUGGAUUAGGAUUC
RNAcentral lists this ribosomal RNA (344 nucleotides) under Ixodes muris (mouse tick). RNAcentral describes it as "partial 16S ribosomal RNA". The record is from RNAcentral. Lineage: Eukaryota; Metazoa; Arthropoda; Arachnida; Ixodida; Ixodidae.